UUGAUCCUGCCGGGGAUCACUGCUAUUGGAGUUCGCUUAAGCCAUGCGAGUCGAGAGGGUUCGGCCCUCGGCAUACGGCUCAGUAACACGUGGAUAAUCUGCCCUGAGGCGGGGGAUAACCUCGAGAAAUUGAGAAUGAUACCCCAUAGACCAAAAGUUCUGGAAUGCCUUUUGGUUCAAAGCUCCGGCGCCCCAGGAUGAGUCUGCGGCCUAUCAGGUUGUAGUGAGUGUAACGGACUCACUAGCCGACGACGGGUACGGGCAGUGGGAGCUGUCGCCCGGAGAUGGAUUCUGAGACACGAAUCCAGGCCCUACGGGGCGCAGUAGGCGCGAAAACUUCGCAAUGCGGGAAACCGCGACGAGGGAACUCCAAGUGCCAUGCCAUUGGUAUGGCUGUUUCCAUGUCUAAAAAACAUGGAGAGUAAGGGCUGGGUAAGACUGGUGCCAGCCGCCGCGGUAAUACCAGCAGCUCAAGUGGUGAUCCUUUUUAUUGGGCCUAAAGCGUCCGUAGCCGGUCUGGUAAAUCCUUGGGUAAAUCGUACCGCUUAACGGUACGAACUCUGGGGAGACUGCUAGACUUGGGACUGGGAGAGGUCGGAGGUACUCCA
This 608-nucleotide ribosomal RNA is filed under the name uncultured archaeon. RNAcentral describes it as "bacterial SSU rRNA". It matches the Rfam family "Archaeal small subunit ribosomal RNA", at positions 8 to 622 of the family's 1478-position model. The record is from RNAcentral.